AAUCAACGCUGGCGGCGUGCCUCAGACAUGCAAGUCGAACGAUUAAAGCUCUCUUCGGAGAGUGCAUAGAGUGGCGCACGGGUGAGUAACACGUAAGUAAUCUACCUUCGAGUGGGGAAUAACGUCCGGAAACGGACGCUAAUACCGCAUAAUGCAGCGGCAUCGCAAGAUGACAGUUGUUAAAGGAGCAAUUCGCUUGAAGAGGAGCUUGCGGCAGAUUAGCUAGUUGGUAAGGUAAUGGCUUACCAAGGCUACGAUCUGUAACCGGUCUAAGAGGACGGUCGGUCACACUGACACUGAAUAACGGGUCAGACUCCUACGGGAGGCAGCAGUCGGGUAAUUUUGGGCAAUGGGCGAAAGCCUGACCCA
Molecule: ribosomal RNA, 369 nt
Filed under: uncultured bacterium
Lineage: Bacteria
Description: bacterial SSU rRNA
Rfam family: Bacterial small subunit ribosomal RNA
Source: RNAcentral